GGAAUUAGCAGGGGCGAACGGAGCUGUACGUAUUGGUGCGCGAGAGGUGAAAUUCUUAGACCGCACCAAGACGAACCUAAGCGAAGGCAUUCAGCUAGUGGACCUUCAUUAAUCAAGAACGAGAGUGCAGGGAUCGAAGAUGAUCAGAUACCGUCGUAGUCUGCUACUGUAAACUAUGCAAACUCGGGAUCGGCUACCGCAUAUCUUUCAUGAUCACAAAGCCGGAACCUCGACUUCCUCCUGUUAGCGAAAGCAUUAAGUUUAUGUGUUCAGGGGGGAGUACAGUUGCAAGGCUGAAACUUAAAGGAAUUGACGGAAUGACACCACAAGGCGUGGAUGCUGCGGCUUAAUUUGACCCAACGCGAGGAAAUUUACCAGGUCAGGACGCAAGUUGGAUUGACAGAUUGAAAGCUCUUUCUUGAUUUUGUGUAUGGUGGUGCAUGGCCGCUCCUGGUUCGUGGAGUGAUUUGUCUGGUUGAUUCCGGUAACGAACGAGAUCUUGACCGUUCAAUGACAGAUUGAUCGUUACAUGUAGUUUGACUCUCAUGCGCUUGCGUAUCGUGACGUUGGAUGAGAUCUAUCCUUGUACUCAACGGGACUACGUGUGUUGACAACACGUGGAAGUGCAAGCCAAUAGCAGGUCUGUGAUGCUCCUAGAUGUCCUGGGCUGCACGCGGCAUACAAUGAUGGAAGAAACGAGUUUGGUUUGUUUGAGCUCCUGGCACGAAAGUGCUGGGGAAUCUGAGCAAUCUUCGUCGUAUAGUGGGGAUCGUUGAUUGCAACUAUUUGCCUUUAACCAGGAAUGCCUUGUAGACUCAGUUCAUCAAGCUGAAUCGAAUACGUCCCUGCCGUUUGUACACACCGCCCGUCGUUGCAAUCGAUCGGUUCAAUGCUAGAGGUAUUCUGGAGAUGACUGCUUCCGCAUGCUGUCGAAGUUGAUCAAUAGUAUUGAACUAGAGAAUGCAAAAGUCGUAACAAGGUAGCUGUAGGUGAACCUGCAGCUGGAUCAUU
RNAcentral lists this ribosomal RNA (1011 nucleotides) under Symbiontida sp. RNAcentral describes it as "SSU rRNA". It matches the Rfam family "Eukaryotic small subunit ribosomal RNA", at positions 865 to 1830 of the family's 1831-position model. The record is from RNAcentral. Lineage: Eukaryota; Euglenozoa; Symbiontida.